GUUUUUUAAGUCUGAUGUGAAAGCCUUCGGCUCAACCGAAGAAGUGCAUCGGAAACUGGGAAACUUGAGUGCAGAAGAGGACAGUGGAACUCCAUGUGUAGCGGUGAAAUGCGUAGAUAUAUGGAAGAACACCAGUGGCGAAGGCGGCUGUCUGGUCUGUAACUGACGCUGAGGCUCGAAAGUAUGGGUAGCAAACAGGAUUAGAUACCCUGGUAGUCCAUACCGUAAACGAUGAAUGCUAAGUGUUGGAGGGUUUCCGCCCUUCAGUGCUGCAGCUAACGCAUUAAGCAUUCCGCCUGGGGAGUACGGCCGCAAGGCUGAAACUCAAAGGAAUUGACGGGGGCCCGCACAAGCGGUGGAGCAUGUGGUUUAAUUCGAAGCUACGCGAAGAACCUUACCAGGUCUUGACAUACUAUGCAAAUCUAAGAGAUUAGACGUUCCCUUCGGGGACACGGAUACAGGUGGUGCAUGGUNGUCGUCAGCUCGUGUCGUGAGAUGUUGGGUUAAGUCCCGCAACGAGCGCAACCCUUAUUAUCAGUUGCCAGCAUUAAGUUGGGCACUCUGGUGAGACUGCCGGUGACAAACCGGAGGAAGGUGGGGA
RNAcentral lists this ribosomal RNA (601 nucleotides) under Lactiplantibacillus plantarum. RNAcentral describes it as "bacterial SSU rRNA". It matches the Rfam family "Bacterial small subunit ribosomal RNA", at positions 578 to 1179 of the family's 1533-position model. The record is from RNAcentral. Lineage: Bacteria; Bacillati; Bacillota; Bacilli; Lactobacillales; Lactobacillaceae.